This 194-nucleotide non-coding RNA is filed under the name Thalassiosira minuscula. The record is from RNAcentral. Lineage: Eukaryota; Bacillariophyta; Thalassiosirophyceae; Thalassiosirales; Thalassiosiraceae.
UAAACUCCUUGGGGAAAUUCCCCGGGCGCUAACGGGAGAGAAUCCCAUCCGGAAACGGAACCCGGCGCGGCAGCCGCUCGUUUUUGACAAAGACGGCCGACUUCAUGUCGGCAAGAGUUGUGUUAUCGAGACGGCGCCGUCAAAAAGCCGCCGCCAUAUCAAAGUCAUGCCAUUUAGAACUCAACGGGGGUCAC